GAUGAACGCUGGCGGCGUGCCUAAUACAUGCAAGUCGAGCGAAGGGACGAGAUACUUGUUUCACUGAUGUUAGCGGCGGACGGGUGAGUAACACGUGGAUAACCUACCUAUAAGACGGGGAUAACUUCGGGAAACCGGAGCUAAUACCGGAUAAUAAUUUUAACCGCAUGGUUCAAAAGUGAAAGACGGUAUUGCUGUCACUAAUAGAUGGAUCCGCGCGGCUUUAGUUAGUUGUGAAGGUAACGGCUUACAAAGGCAACGAUGAAUAGCGGACCUGGGAGGGUGUUCGCCAACACUGGAACUAGACCCCGGCCCAGAUUCCUCGGGGAGCAACAAGAAGGAAUCUUCCGGAAAUGGGGGAAAGCCUAACGGACAAACGCCGCGUAGUGAAUGAAGUUCUUCGAAUCUAAAACCUUUGUUAUUAGGGAGAACCAUAGGUGUAAGUAAAAGUGCAUCACGUGACGGUACCUACUCAGAAAGCGACGGCUAACUACGUG
RNAcentral lists this ribosomal RNA (497 nucleotides) under uncultured bacterium. Its description in RNAcentral is "partial 16S ribosomal RNA". It matches the Rfam family "Bacterial small subunit ribosomal RNA", at positions 28 to 507 of the family's 1533-position model. The record is from RNAcentral.